RNAcentral lists this long non-coding RNA (676 nucleotides) under Olea europaea subsp. europaea. The record is from RNAcentral. Lineage: Eukaryota; Viridiplantae; Streptophyta; Magnoliopsida; Lamiales; Oleaceae.
AGUUUAUAUCUUCACCUCGACAUCUUUAUCUUGCGACUGUUCGUCGUAUUGUGGAUCACCUACUCGUGGGUUGUUCUUUCCUAAAGGGUCUUCUCUUCACCUUUUGGCCUACAGUGAUGCUGAUUGGGCUGGGUGUCCGGAUACGCGUCGUUCUACUAUAGGGUGGUGUAUAUUUUUGGGUAAUGCAUUGAUUUCUUAGAAAUGUAAGAAAUAGGAUCGUGUUUCUAAAUCAUCUACUGAGGCUGAGUAUCGUGCUAUGUUUACAGCUUGUUCUGAGAUUAUUUGGCUACGUGGCCUUCUGGAGGAACUUGGGUUUCCUCAAACUAAUCCUACUCUUCUUCAUUCGGAUAACACUAGUGUUAUACAGAUUGCAAACAAUCCUGUAUUUCUUGAACGCACCAAACACAUUGAGGUUGAUUGUCACUUUAUUCGUGACACUUUGAUGGAUCGGGUGAUAUCUCUUCCCUACAUUAUUUCUGAUCUCCAAGUGGUAGAUGUGUUCACCAAAGCACUGACUCGACCGUGGCAUCAAUUCCUUAUUGGCAAAUUGUUACUGGUUGACCUCCCAGCAUCAAUUUGAGGGAAGAUGUUACCGAAAAUAGAGUUGGAUAUAUUUGGAAAAUAGAUUAUUUUAGGAAUUGUAUUUGUUUAGUUACCUUAUACAUUCAAUGACUAC